ACACUCCUGCGGGAGGCAGCAGUGGGGAAUUUUGGACAAUGGGCGAAAGCCUGAUCCAGCCAUGCCGCGUGCAGGAUGAAGGCCUUCGGGUUGUAAACUGCUUUUGUACGGAACGAAACGGCCUUUUCUAAUAAAGAGGGCUAAUGACGGUACCGUAAGAAUAAGCACCGGCUAACUACGUGCCAGCAGCCGCGGUAAUACGUAGGGUGCAAGCGUUAAUCGGAAUUACUGGGCGUAAAGCGUGCGCAGGCGGUUAUGUAAGACAGUUGUGAAAUCCCCGGGCUCAACCUGGGAACUGCAUCUGUGACUGCAUAGCUAGAGUACGGUAGAGGGGGAUGGAAUUCCGCGUGUAGCAGUGAAAUGCGUAGAUAUGCGGGGGAACACCGAUGGCGAAGGCAAUCCCCUGGACCUGUACUGACGCUCAUGCACGAAAGCGUGGGGAGCAAACAGGAUUAGAUACCCCAGUAGUCCCAUGA
This 476-nucleotide ribosomal RNA is filed under the name uncultured organism. RNAcentral describes it as "partial 16S ribosomal RNA". It matches the Rfam family "Bacterial small subunit ribosomal RNA", at positions 333 to 800 of the family's 1533-position model. The record is from RNAcentral.